AAUCUAUCUGGCUUGAACUCUUCAGGAUUCGGCCACACACUAGCGUCGCGAUGCAACUUCCAUAAGUUUGUCAAAAAACGAGUGCCCUUUGGAAUAUGGUAUCCGCACAGGGUGCAAUCUUCCAUUGCCUCGCGAGGAACUGCCAGAGGACCUGCUGGGUAUAAUCUCAGUGUUUCUUUAAUGAUUGCUUUGAGGUACACUAAGUUUUCGACGUCUGAUUCUUCUACGGGUCUGUCCCUUCCAACUUUCUGAUCUAUCUCCUCUUGGGCAAGCUGCAAUUCACGCCUGUUGUUCAACAAAUUGGCCAACAUCCAUAUCAUGGUGAUAGAUGUUGUAUCGGACCCACCGACGAUAAGAGUCAUUAUUGUUGCUUUGAUAACUGUUUCACGAGAAUUGCCGAAUUGGGAAUCAUCCUGAACUGCAGAUAGCAAAACAUCUAUGAAAUCCUGCUUGGUCUCCACCUCACCGUUGAGCCUUCUCAACUCAUGUUCUUGAAUCCAGGCAUCUAUAAUGGUAUCCAAUUCCUUGUUAAUCUUCUUCAUAGAUUUCACAGACCCAUACAUGAAUUCCGUCCAUCCUAGAAAAGGAAUCAAGUCAGAAGGAACAGAAGCACCAGCAAAAUACAUGAAUUCCCUCAUGACUUCUCCAAUGGGACGUCCCUUUUCAUCGUGCCCAUUAUUGUCACCUUCGAAGUAUCGCUUUCCUGCCACCAUUCUUGUUAUCAUAUUGAGCACCAAAUGUUCAAACAAGUCGCUCAUGUUGACCUUGACUGGAUUGUUCUUAUUUUCCUUCCAUUGCCUGAAUAGAUCCUUAUUGACAAGACUCACUUCAGAUGUUCGAACAUCCUUCAACAACUUGAGCCUUUGGGGGGAGAGGAGCUCGACAAUGGCGAGCUUACGCACAUCACGCCAAUAGGAACCGUAAGGCGAGAAACCAAAGGCUGCAUAGUUGUAGGCUAGGUGCUUUGAUUGGCUUGAUUGUGGGCGUGAAGCUACGAAUUUGUCAUUUGUGGUAUAGAACUCUUUCAUUAUAUGUUGACUGCUGAUCACCACUGUGCGGUGCAUCCCCAUGUUGAUGGAGAAGAUAGGGCCAUAUUUAUCAGCUACAUCACCCAAGAUUCUGGCAAACGGUUUCCUGGCACCAAGUUGAUGAAGGUGACCUAUAAUUGGCAGGGCACCAGGAAUUUGUGGGGGCAAUGAGCGCUCCUUACUGCUAUAUUUCUUUCCCCUCCGUAGAUUAUAAAGAAGGACUAGAGCUAGGACUCCUAGAAUUGCUACAAAAUUUGAAGAGAAAUCCAUGAUGGGUCUGGACUCUGGAGGGAGG
Molecule: unclassified non-coding RNA, 1323 nt
Filed under: Hevea brasiliensis (rubber tree)
Lineage: Eukaryota; Viridiplantae; Streptophyta; Magnoliopsida; Malpighiales; Euphorbiaceae
Source: RNAcentral